RNAcentral lists this ribosomal RNA (261 nucleotides) under uncultured bacterium. RNAcentral describes it as "partial 16S ribosomal RNA". It matches the Rfam family "Bacterial small subunit ribosomal RNA", at positions 333 to 590 of the family's 1533-position model. The record is from RNAcentral.
CUUACCCUACGGGGCGCAGCAGUGAGGAAUAUUGGUCAAUGGGCGCAAGCCUGAACCAGCCAAGUCGCGUGAGGGAUGACGGUCCUAUGGAUUGUAAACCUCUUUUGUCGGGGAGCAAGGCCCGCCACGUGUGGCGGGAAGGAGAGUACCCGAAGAAAAAGCAUCGGCUAACUCCGUGCCAGCAGCCGCGGGAAUACGGAGGAUGCGAGCGUUAUCCGGAUUUAUUGGGCUUUAAGGGUGCGUAGGCGGAAGGUUAAGUCA